Molecule: unclassified non-coding RNA, 387 nt
Filed under: Hevea brasiliensis (rubber tree)
Lineage: Eukaryota; Viridiplantae; Streptophyta; Magnoliopsida; Malpighiales; Euphorbiaceae
Source: RNAcentral
GCCCCAAUCUCCACUCACAUGGCUGGUUGCUCUCUCACCCAAGUCCCUUGCAUGAAAUUUCCAUGCACGUAAAAAUGGGUCACCGUCCCAUGUGCAGCUCCCUUUAGUGCGUUACACUUGCACUUCACACAAUCAGCUCCUGGUCCCUCUCAACACGUCAGUUUGCCUUACCAGGCUCACUCCUCCACGUGAUGACCAAUCUGGUCUGAUGGUGCGUCCCAACUCCUGAAAAUCCCAAGGACAAAUGGCAAGACCCACGUGAUCAGUCCCCAUGCAGCCCCAUGCAAUUCACGUCCCAUUUUCAAGCAGAUUCGGUACACAUAAAUGGGACUCAAAAUAGGCAGCCAGCAAGCAAUAAAUAAGCAGAAAAAUUUGGAUCUUCGGGGA